Molecule: long non-coding RNA, 1265 nt
Organism: Bos taurus (domestic cattle)
Lineage: Eukaryota; Metazoa; Chordata; Mammalia; Artiodactyla; Bovidae
Source: Ensembl
CUUGUCUCCCACUUCUUAGCUGCGCAUCCUGCAAAUAAACUCUGACUUUGCUGCAGAUACCUGCAGUCAAGGUUUGUCUUUCUGUGGCUGUGGGCACAUGAACCCUCCUUAAAUUUUGCAUCAUUGUGUUCCUAAGUCUCCUUAGGAACCUUAGUUUUCCUAAGCCACUCUAGUCUCAGCCCUGCCAGAAGUCAUAGCAUUUUCAUUUAAAAACUUAAAUAUAUGCUUGUUCUUUGUCCUAAUUGCUAGGAAUUCUUCCUUUGGAAAUAAACAGGGUUCUAAACCAUAUGUUCAAAACGAUCAUAUAUAUAAAUAUAAGACAGGAAGGACAUGCACCCAAAUGAUAACAGAGGUUAUCUCUGAGAGAUAGGGUUAUAGAUUAUUUUUUCCAUCAUGCUUGUGGGUUUGUGUGUGUGCUUUACACAUUUUCUGCACUUCACAAGUAUGUUUUUGUGGCUAGGCAGAAAUAACGUUAUAUUUAAAUAUGACCCAUUGUGCUUAGGCUAAGCACCUUACUGCCCUCUUUCCUUCUGGACAGCACUUUCCCAUGAGGCUUUCUGAUCCUUCAUGCAAACAGCCCCACAGAGACUCACCCCACAAGCCUCUCAGACAGGCAUACACAUGUCUGAAUCUACAGAGAGGCUGAGACAGGCCUGUUGGGGUGCAGUCUUCUCUGAGGGCACUGUAGGACGGGAUAUGAUGAUUUAAAUGCCCCUCCCCAACUUCCACCUCCUCUCCCAGGGGUUGUUCAGGGAAUCCACACCCUUGUGGAAGGAGUCGGAUGGACAGGAAUUGAGUCCCUGACUUUGCCAGGUACAAGCCAUGUGACUCUAGGCAAGUUAUUUCGUCUCUCUGCUCAAUCUUCACAUCCCUAAAAUGGAGAUAACACUGGAGUUAUAGCACAGUGAUCUUCUGGAGCCAGUAAGAAGAUGUAUGUGAAGUGUGGAUGCCAGUCUGGCAUGAGGUGACUCAGCAAGAGGGAGAAAUACAGCCUUCACAGGAGGAUGCAGAAGGAUUCUUCCACACUCAGAAAUGCUUGGGAGAGGAGGAUGUGACCACGAAGAACUCUACUCAGGGGAAGGAUCAAAGCGACCACAAACCAUGUCUUAAGUCUACUGUGGUUAGAGUCUGAGGAUUACUCAGGAGUCUCAGAGGAGGGAAGGCGGGAGGAUGACAAAGACGUUAUAAGGCGUACAUACAAAAAUAUGUGUAAAAUGCCAAGAAUGGUGCCUGAUGCAUACUAAGUGCUAUGUGUUGUUAUUCCU